RNAcentral lists this long non-coding RNA (771 nucleotides) under Numida meleagris (helmeted guineafowl). RNAcentral's name for it is "lncRNA (ENSNMEG00000008367.1)". Lineage: Eukaryota; Metazoa; Chordata; Aves; Galliformes; Numididae. The record is from RNAcentral.
GGAUGGUUGGGCUGGAUGAUCUUGUAGGUCUUUUCCAACCUAGCUAAUUCUAUGAUUCUAUGAUUUUUUUUUUUAGCGUGAAUGUAUAGGCUAGAACAAUACAUCUGAGUCUGUCCUGGUUUCAGCCAAAACAGCAUUAAUAGCACACCAGUCUUUGGUUGUCUCUGAGUGAUGGGAAGACACCUGAGGUGGGGAAAGAGCCAUGGCCAUGAUGGUGUGUGGGCAUGAGGCGCAACAGGUGACCUGAGUUAGGCUAAGUGUUAUUCCAGACCGUGUGACACCACACAGAAGGUUAUCUAGCUGUGGGGAGUGGUCAUGAGGAAGCUGCUGCUCAGGUGCUAUGGGGCUCACUUGGUGGUGGGUGAGACUUUGUGUUGCUGGCAGGCACUGGUUGUCUGUAUUUAUGGCUGCGUGUCUGGUGGUGACUAGCUGCAUUUCAGAUAUGUAUUAUAUAUAGGCAUAUAUAUUGUUUUCAUUGUCCUUUUGUUUCCAUUUUCUUUUCUGUCUUAGUAAAUAGCUCUUAUUUCAACCCAAGAGUUCUAUUUUGUUUCCAGUUCUCUCCCUCAUUCUACCUGGGAGGAAGUGAGCAAAAGGCCUUGUGGUGUUCAGCCGCUGCCAGGUUAUGCCACAAAACAGUCAAUUUGGAAAAGUUGCUUGCUGUAGGUGGCCCUGUUCACUGACACUGAAGUCUGUAAAUGAAAACAAGUUGCUGGAGCAUUUUUAUUUCUUUGAACACAGAAGAAAAUAAAAAGGAAGUGGAGGUAGAAGACA